UACAGAGGUGGCAAGCGUUGUUCGGAAUUACUGGGCGUAAAGGGCGCGUAGGCGGCCUCCUAAGUCGGACGUGAAAGCCCCAGGCUUAACCUGGGAACUGCGUCCGAUACUGGGAGGCUUGGAUUCGGGAGAGGGAUGUGGAAUUCCAGGUGUAGCGGUGAAAUGCGUAGAUAUCGGGAGGAAUACCGAUGGCGAAGGCAGGUCUCUGGGCUGACACUGACGCUCAUGCACGAAAGCGUGGGGAGCAAACAGG
RNAcentral lists this ribosomal RNA (253 nucleotides) under uncultured bacterium. RNAcentral describes it as "partial 16S ribosomal RNA". It matches the Rfam family "Bacterial small subunit ribosomal RNA", at positions 524 to 776 of the family's 1533-position model. The record is from RNAcentral.